This 253-nucleotide ribosomal RNA is filed under the name uncultured bacterium. RNAcentral describes it as "partial 16S ribosomal RNA". It matches the Rfam family "Bacterial small subunit ribosomal RNA", at positions 524 to 776 of the family's 1533-position model. The record is from RNAcentral.
UACGUAGGGUGCAAGCGUUGUUCGGAAUCAUUGGGCGUAAAGCGCGUGUAGGCGGUCAAAUAAGUCGGGUGUGAAAUCCCUAGGCUCAACCAAGGAAGUGCAUCCGAAACUAUUUGGCUGGAAGAUGGUAGAGGAAGGUGGAAUUCCUAGUGUAGAGGUGAAAUUCGUAGAUAUUAGGAGGAAUACCGGCGGCGAAGGCGGCCUUCUGGACCAUUCUUGACGCUGAGACGCGAAAGCGUGGGGAGCAAACAGG